GGUGUAUAUGUGUUCGCUAGCGGAGUUCAAGUGAAUGAAUGACGUACGCCGGGGUGCGUGGUGCGCUUAUUAUGUGCAUUUGGUGGACCUGAUUGAAGCCAGUGGCACAGAAAGCGCGCGCUUUCGCCUGGCCUCUGUUGCAAAGGGGAGGGUGCUCGUUCUAGGGAACGAGGGAGGAACCGAGAACAAAUGAAAGCAACUAACAUCAGUCAAAUACUGAUAGAACAAAGUGUGACAACUGAGGGAUCAACUAGUACUCUGUGUCCGACUCCUCACAUUGUUGUUGUUGUUGUUGUUGUUGCUGCACCUGAUUCAACUCAUUGAGGACAAGGUGAUAAGUAGUUGAAUCAGCUGUGCCUCUCCAGGGCUACAACAAAAUAGGCUACUCUACCCCUGGAGUUGGAAAACACUGAAUUAGUAGGCUAGAGAUAGGCCUAAAGAACUCAAAUAGAGGUCCCAAGUAGAAAGGAGAAACGAAGGUGACUCUUCCACACACAUAAUCGCAACAAGUAACACACAAAACCUUCAUGCCAUAAUUGAGACACCGUCAAAUCCAAAGGGGGAAGAUGUAGGCAACGGGGAAACAAAUACACAUGGAAUGCCAUAAAGCCAAAGGGGCCCAUCAUGUUUUUUUUUCUUUAUUGUAGACAUUUGACUCAUUUGAGUGAAUGCAUACAUUUCAUACAAUGUCUAUUUUUUUUCUUUUUUUUGGUACUGGCCCCCCGUGGGAAUCAAACCCACAACCCUGGCAUUGCAAACACCGUUCUCUACCAACUGAGCCACAGGGAAGACGGCACAUGUCAUGUCACCUCAUCAGUCAUUUUGCUAUUGAAGGCCAUGUAAUGUAACAUCAAUCUUCUUUUUCUUCCCUAGACACGAUCCAGCCUGACAGUCAGGGAGCCAAGAGGACCUGAGGUUCCGAUGGGAAGGGUGGUGAUACCUCUGUAAGGUGAAACGCAGUAACACAUUCCUCAGACACCCACCCAAUGAAGGGCUAGUGUUCCUAUGUGUACAGAGGCGAGAGGGAUGUGCAAAU
This 1036-nucleotide long non-coding RNA is filed under the name Salmo salar (Atlantic salmon). Its description in RNAcentral is "lncRNA (ENSSSAG00000089181.1)". The record is from RNAcentral. Lineage: Eukaryota; Metazoa; Chordata; Actinopteri; Salmoniformes; Salmonidae.